ACGGAAGGCAGCAGUGGGGAAUAUUGCACAAUGGGCGCAAGCCUGAUGCAGCGAUGCCGCGUGAGGGAAGAAGGUUUUCGGAUUGUAAACCUCUGUCAACAGGGACGAAAAUGACGGUACCUGUGAAGGAAGCUCCGGCUAACUACGUGCCAGCAGCCGCGGUAAUACGUAGGGAGCAAGCGUUAUCCGGAAUUACUGGGUGUAAAGGGAGUGUAGGCGGGACUGUAAGUCAGAUGUGAAAUCCCCGGGCUUAACCCGGGAACUGCAUUUGAAACUGUAGUUCUUGAGUAUCGGAGAGGCAAGCGGAAUUCCUAGUGUAGCGGUGAAAUGCGUAGAUAUUAGGAGGAACACCAGUGGCGAAGGCGGCUUGCUGGACGACAACUGACGCUGAGGCGCGAAAGCGUGGGGAGCAAACAGGAUUAGAUACCCUGGUA
RNAcentral lists this ribosomal RNA (434 nucleotides) under uncultured Ruminococcus sp. Its description in RNAcentral is "bacterial SSU rRNA". It matches the Rfam family "Bacterial small subunit ribosomal RNA", at positions 341 to 792 of the family's 1533-position model. The record is from RNAcentral. Lineage: Bacteria; Bacillati; Bacillota; Clostridia; Eubacteriales; Oscillospiraceae.